Molecule: long non-coding RNA, 459 nt
Filed under: Phascolarctos cinereus (koala)
Lineage: Eukaryota; Metazoa; Chordata; Mammalia; Diprotodontia; Phascolarctidae
Description: lncRNA (ENSPCIG00000031369.1)
Source: RNAcentral
GGAGCGAGGAGCGAUAGAGAAACGAGAGAGAGAGAAGGGGAGAGCGCGCGCGCGCGCGCGCCUCCCCCGCCCUCCUCGGCCGGGCUCGCUCCCGCACAAGUCCGCGCGUGCGUGUCCGGGGACAGCGAAUUGGCGAGCUCGCCUGCGCCCCAGGAUCCGGCCUUGCUCUAGGUCUUGAAACUCCAAACCUUCUUCUCACCCAAUCCGCCCAAGUCCUAGGUUUUGCAAGAUUGAGCAGCUUGCAGACAGGUAUAAAGAAAAUCUGUGUUACUGUUCAAUUAAUUAAUUAGUAUGACUGUUUUCUGUAGGCUUAUAGAAAGUAGGGACACAAACUAGGUAGGUUGGUGUUACUUCUGCAGCACCUCAAGUGUCAUCUGAGAAACUCACCAAGUAUAUGCUCUGCUUGCACCCACACAUCAACAACAAAAAGAAAAGGCAGUGGCGGGUGUGCAAGGAAAA